AGAGUUUGAUCCUGGCUCAGGACGAACGCUGGCGGCGUGCUUAACACAUGCAAGUGGAGCGACGAACCAGGGCUUGCCCUGGGGCAAAGCCGCGAACGGGUGAGUAACACGUGGGUAACCUGCCCCGAUGACCGGGACAACCCGAGGAAACUCGGGCUAAUACCGGAUGUGCUCGCGAGCCACAAGGCUCGCGUGGAAAGGUAGCUUCGGCCUCCGCAUCGGGAUGGGCCCGCGGCCCAUUAGCUUGUUGGUGGGGUAACGGCCUACCAAGGCUGCGAUGGGUAGCUGGUCUGAGAGGACGAUCAGCCACACUGGGACUGAGACACGGCCCAGACUCCUACGGGAGGCAGCAGUGGGGAAUCUUGCGCAAUGCGCGACAGCGUGACGCAGCAACGCCGCGUGGGGGAAGAAGGCUUUCGGGUUGUAAACCCCUUUCAGUUGGGACGAAGCUCCGGCCGUUAAUAGCGGUCUGGGAGUGACGGUACCUUCAGAAGAAGCCCGGCUAACUAGUGCCAGCAGCCGCGGUA
This 527-nucleotide ribosomal RNA is filed under the name uncultured Actinomycetes bacterium. Its description in RNAcentral is "bacterial SSU rRNA". It matches the Rfam family "Bacterial small subunit ribosomal RNA", at positions 8 to 522 of the family's 1533-position model. Lineage: Bacteria; Bacillati; Actinomycetota; Actinomycetes. The record is from RNAcentral.